Molecule: ribosomal RNA, 253 nt
Filed under: uncultured bacterium
Lineage: Bacteria
Description: partial 16S ribosomal RNA
Rfam family: Bacterial small subunit ribosomal RNA
Source: RNAcentral
UACGUAGGGUGCAAGCGUUAAUCGGAAUUACUGGGCGUAAAGCGUGCGCAGGCGGUUAUGCAAGACAGAGGUGAAAUCCCCGGGCUUAACCUGGGAAUGGCAUUGGUGACUGCACGGCUAGAGUGUGUCAGAGGGGGGUAGAAUUCCACGUGUAGCAGUGAAAUGCGUAGAUAUGCGGAGGAACACCAAUGGCGAAGGCAAUCCCCUGGGCCUGUACUGACGCUCAUGCACGAAAGCGUGGGGAGCAAACAGG